GUUGAAGAACGUAGCGAAAUGCGAUACUUGGUGUGAAAUGCAGAAUCCCGUGAACCAUCGAGUCUUUGAACGCAAGUUGCGCCCGAAGCCAUCAGGUUGAGGGCACGUCUGCCUGGGCGUCACAUAUCGUUGUUCGAUGCCUAUCGCAUUGCGAUAGGACUUAGGGCGAAUGAUGGCUUCCCGUGAGCGUUGUUGCCUCGCGGUUGGUUGAAAAUCGAGUCCUUGGUAGGGUGUGCCAUGAUAGAUGGUGGUCGAGUUAGCACGAGACUGAUCAUGUGCAUGCUCCCCAAAAUAUGGCCUCUGUGACCCACACGCGUCUUUUGACGCUCAUGAUGAGACCUCAGGUCAGGCGGGGCUACCCGCUGAAUUUAAGCAUAUCAAUAAGCGGAGGA
This 392-nucleotide unclassified non-coding RNA is filed under the name soil metagenome. RNAcentral describes it as "partial contains 5.8S ribosomal RNA, internal transcribed spacer 2, and large subunit ribosomal RNA". The stretch from base 1 to 122 matches the Rfam family "5.8S ribosomal RNA", at positions 35 to 154 of the family's 154-position model. The record is from RNAcentral.